This 500-nucleotide ribosomal RNA is filed under the name uncultured bacterium. RNAcentral's name for it is "partial 16S ribosomal RNA". It matches the Rfam family "Bacterial small subunit ribosomal RNA", at positions 29 to 523 of the family's 1533-position model. The record is from RNAcentral.
AUUGAACGCUGGCGGCGUGCUUAACACAUGCAAGUCGAGCGGCAGCGCGGGAGCAAUCCUGGCGGCGAGCGGCGAACGGGUGAGUAAUGCUUCGGAAUCUGCCCUGUAGUGGGGAAUAACCAGUCGAAAGAUUGGCUAAUACCGCAUACGAACUACGGUUGAAAGCGGGGGAUCGCAAGACCUCGCGCUAUAGGAUGAGCCGAAGUCGGAUUAGCUAGUUGGUGAGGUAACGGCUCACCAAGGCGACGAUCCGUAGCUGGUCUGAGAGGACGACCAGCCACACUGGUACUGCGACACGGCCCAGCAUCCUACGGGAGGCAGCAGUGGGGAAUAUUGGACAAUGGGGGCAACCCUGAUCCAGCGACGCCGCGUGUGUGAAGAAGGCCUGCGGGUUGGAAAGCACUAUUAGUGGGGAGGAAAUGCUCGGCGCUAACACCGUCGGGAACUGACUUAACCCAAAGAAAAAGCACCGGCUAACUCUGUGCCAGCCGCCGCAGUAA